UACAUAGGGAGCAAGCGUUAUCCGGAAUGAUUGGGCGUAAAGCGUCUGUAGGUGGUUCAAAAAGUCUACUGUCAAAUACGUUGGCUCAACCAACGGCAGGCAUUAAAGUACUAUUGAACUAGAGUGUGGUAGAGGUAGAGGGAAUCCCUAGCGUAACAGUGAAAUGUGUAGAUUUUAGGGAGAACACCAGCGGCGAAGGCGCUCUACUGGGCCAUUACUGACACUGAGAGACGAAAGCUAAGGGAGCGAAAGGG
This 254-nucleotide ribosomal RNA is filed under the name uncultured bacterium. RNAcentral's name for it is "partial 16S ribosomal RNA". It matches the Rfam family "Bacterial small subunit ribosomal RNA", at positions 524 to 776 of the family's 1533-position model. The record is from RNAcentral.